Molecule: microRNA precursor, 193 nt
Filed under: Oryza brachyantha (malo sina)
Lineage: Eukaryota; Viridiplantae; Streptophyta; Magnoliopsida; Poales; Poaceae
Description: MIR812 microRNA precursor family
Source: Rfam by way of RNAcentral
AAUAAACCAAUUUUUCACUUUUUACCUUCAAUUUUUUAUUCUUCUUUUUAUUUAAAUUUUUUUGCGAUUGAUAUUUUUGUUUUUAUUAUAUGAUAAAUCAUAAAUAGUACUUUAUGUGUGAUUAAUUUUUUUCUAAUUUCUUAAAAAUUUUUCAAAUAAAACAGAUGAUUAAACGUCGGACACGAAACCGGAC